RNAcentral lists this ribosomal RNA (404 nucleotides) under uncultured Protaspa. RNAcentral describes it as "partial small subunit ribosomal RNA". It matches the Rfam family "Eukaryotic small subunit ribosomal RNA", at positions 30 to 432 of the family's 1831-position model. Lineage: Eukaryota; Cercozoa; Thecofilosea; Cryomonadida. The record is from RNAcentral.
GCUUGUCUCAAAGAUUAAGCCAUGCAUGUCUUAGUGUAAAUAACUCUUAUGAAACUGCGAAUGGCUCAUUAAAUCAGUUAUCGUUUAUUUGAUGGUUCCUUACUACAUGGAUAACUGUAGUAAUUCUAGAGCUAAUACAUGCGUAAAGUCCCGACUCUCGCGGGGAGGGAUGUAUUUAUUAGAUAAAAAACCAAUGCGGGCUCUGUCCGGUUUUGUGGUGAAUCAUAGUAACUUUUCGAAUGGCAUGACUUCACGUCGGCCAUAUUUCAUUCAAAUUUCUGCCCUAUCAGCUUUCGACGGUAGUGUAGUGGACUACCGUGGCGUUAACGGGUAACGGAGAAUUAGGGUUCGAUUCCGGAGAGGGAGCCUGAGAAACGGCUACCACAUCCAAGGAAGGCAGCAGG